GCCACAGGUGGUUAACACUGUUCCAUUGAAGCCCAUUGAAGAUACUGUUUCAUUGCCUCAUGCAUCUGUAGAUUUGCAACCAUCUGGAGUUUAUGUGCUACUAACAACAACUGAGAAGGUUGAUAACACUGUUCCAUUGAAGCCCUCUGAAGAUACUGUUUCAUUGCCUCAUGCAUCUGUAGAUUUGCAACCAUCUGGAGUUCCCGUGCUACUAACAGCAACUGAGAAGGUUGAUAACACUGUUCCAUUGAAGCCUUCUGCAGAUACUGUUUCAUUGCCUCAUGCAUCUGUAGAUUUGCAACCAUCUGGAGUUCCCGUGCUACUAACAGCAACUGAGAAGGUUGAUAACAACUCAGAAC
Molecule: long non-coding RNA, 359 nt
Filed under: Nicotiana benthamiana
Lineage: Eukaryota; Viridiplantae; Streptophyta; Magnoliopsida; Solanales; Solanaceae
Description: long non-coding RNA (NBEN_LNC035496)
Source: RNAcentral